CAAGGCAACGAUGCAUAGCCGACCUGAGAGGGUGAUCGGCCACACUGGAACUGAGACACGGUCCAGACUCCUACGGGAGGCAGCAGUAGGGAAUCUUCCGCAAUGGGCGAAAGCCUGACGGAGCAACGCCGCGUGAGUGAUGAAGGUCUUCGGAUCGUAAAACUCUGUUAUUAGGGAAGAACAUAUGUGUAAGUAACUGUGCACAUCUUGACGGUACCUAAUCAGAAAGCCACGGCUAACUACGUGCCAGCAGCCGCGGUAAUACGUAGGUGGCAAGCGUUAUCCGGAAUUAUUGGGCGUAA
Molecule: ribosomal RNA, 302 nt
Filed under: Staphylococcus aureus
Lineage: Bacteria; Bacillati; Bacillota; Bacilli; Caryophanales; Staphylococcaceae
Description: bacterial SSU rRNA
Rfam family: Bacterial small subunit ribosomal RNA
Source: RNAcentral